AAAAAUAGAAAACGUGUUUACUUGCUCAAUUUCUCUAAUUUUGAAAACAUUUUUCCAAUUUUCUAAAAUUUCUUGUUUUCUGUUUUAAGCUUAAACCUGGAAAACACAAAUUCAGAGUUUUCUAUUUGAAAAACGUCGGGUUGCGAGCACAAUCGUACGAGAAAAAAAAAAUCAAGGAAAAACAUCAUCGAUCUCUUCUUCUUCUCGCUCUGGCUUCAUCAAUAAUCGAUCACUGUUUCUUCUUCUCUCUUGUUGUAGCUUUCAUCGGUAAUAGAUCUAUCACCUUCUUCUUCAAUCAAGGUGAGAUUUCGAUCGGUAAUCAAUCUCUUUUUUUGUUUUCUUCUUAUUCAAUCUUCAAUCAAUCUCUCUUCAAAUUGAAAUAUGAUAAAAUGUUACUAUAGAUUGUUUUGGGCAAAUGCCAAAUUGCAUCUUGAUGUGGGUUGGAAUAAUUAAUUUGAAUAUAUCUCUAGAUACUGUUUUAAUUUAUUUAUUUAUUUAUUUAUUUUUUACCAUUGAGCUGAAGAUGAUAGAUGGGUUUGAUUUAAAUAGUAGGUAGGUGGUUUUGAUUGCUUUUUUUUUUUUUUGUGAUAAUCC
This 594-nucleotide long non-coding RNA is filed under the name Aquilegia coerulea. Its description in RNAcentral is "long non-coding RNA (ACOE_LNC000966)". The record is from RNAcentral. Lineage: Eukaryota; Viridiplantae; Streptophyta; Magnoliopsida; Ranunculales; Ranunculaceae.